This 130-nucleotide small RNA is filed under the name Serratia marcescens. Its description in RNAcentral is "RtT sRNA". It matches the Rfam family "RtT RNA". Rfam says of the family: This family represents a bacterial cis-regulatory element known as RtT RNA. The exact function of RtT is unknown although it is thought that it may be involved in changing the cellular response in relation to amino acid starvation. The record is from RNAcentral. RNAcentral also lists the same sequence under 1 other name. Lineage: Bacteria; Pseudomonadati; Pseudomonadota; Gammaproteobacteria; Enterobacterales; Yersiniaceae.
UUUCAUCUAUACGUCGAGAGGAUGAGAAUCUCCGAAGGAGGUUUGAGCCGAACGUAGUGAGACCACGUUGCUUUAGCAACGGCCCGCAGGGCAAGCAUCGAAGAUGCGCAUAAUCCUCUCAUGCCGACCA